CGGAGGAUCCGAGCGUUAUCCGGAUUUAUUGGGUUUAAAGGGUGCGCAGGCGGGAGAUUAAGUCGGCGGUGAAAUUUUGCAGCUCAACUGUAAAAGUGCCUUCGAAACUGGUUUCCUUGAGUAUAGAUGAAGUAGGCGGAAUUUGUGGUGUAGCGGUGAAAUGCAUAGAUAUCACGAGGAACUCCGAUUGCGCAGGCAGCUUACUAAACUACUACUGACGCUCAGGCACGAAGGCGUGGGGAUCAAACAGGAUUAGAUACCCUGGUA
RNAcentral lists this ribosomal RNA (267 nucleotides) under uncultured prokaryote. RNAcentral's name for it is "partial 16S ribosomal RNA". It matches the Rfam family "Bacterial small subunit ribosomal RNA", at positions 526 to 792 of the family's 1533-position model. The record is from RNAcentral.